GGCGGACGGGUGAGUAAUGUCUGGGAAACUGCCUGAUGGAGGGGGAUAACUACUGGAAACGGUGGCUAAUACCGCAUAACGUCGCAAGACCAAAGAGGGGGACCUUCGGGCCUCUUGCCAUCAGAUGUGCCCAGAUGGGAUUAGCUUGUUGGUGAGGUAACGGCUCACCAAGGCGACGAUCCCUAGCUGGUCUGAGAGGAUGACCAGCCACACUGGAACUGAGACACGGUCCAGACUCCUACGGGAGGCAGCAGUGGGGAAUAUUGCACAAUGGGCGCAAGCCUGAUGCAGCCAUGCCGCGUGUAUGAAGAAGGCCUUCGGGUUGUAAAGUACUUUCAGCGGGGAGGAAGGUGUUGUGGUUAAUAACCGCAGCAAUUGACGUUACCCGCAGAAGAAGCACCGGCUAACUCCGUGCCAGCAGCCGCGGUAAUACGGAGGGUGCAAGCGUUAAUCGGAAUUACUGGGCGUAAAGCGCACGCAGGCGGUCUGUCAAGUCGGAUGUGAAAUCCCCGGGCUCAACCUGGGAACUGCAUUCGAAACUGGCAGGCUUGAGUCUUGUAGAGGGGGGUAGAAUUCCAGGUGUAGCGGUGAAAUGCGUAGAGAUCUGGAGGAAUACCGGUGGCGAAGGCGGCCCCCUGGACAAAGACUGACGCUCAGGUGCGAAAGCGUGGGGAGCAAACAGGAUUAGAUACCCUGGUAGUCCACGCCGUAAACGAUGUCUACUUGGAGGUUGUGCCCUUGAGGCGUGGCUUCCGGAGCUAACGCGUUAAGUAGACCGCCUGGGGAGUACGGCCGCAAGGUUAAAACUCAAAUGAAUUGACGGGGGCCCGCACAAGCGGUGGAGCAUGUGGUUUAAUUCGAUGCAACGCGAAGAACCUUACCUGGUCUUGACAUCCACGGAAGAAUUCAGAGAUGGAUUUGUGCCUUCGGGAACCGUGAGACAGGUGCUGCAUGGCUGUCGUCAGCUCGUGUUGUGAAAUGUUGGGUUAAGUCCCGCAACGAGCGCAACCCUUAUCCUUUGUUGCCAGCGGUCCGGCCGGGAACUCAAAGGAGACUGCCAGUGAUAAACUGGAGGAAGGUGGGGAUGACGUCAAGUCAUCAUGGCCCUUACGACCAGGGCUACACACGUGCUACAAUGGCGCAUACAAAGAGAAGCGACCUCGCGAGAGCAAGCGGACCUCAUAAAGUGCGUCGUAGUCCGGAUUGGAGUCUGCAACUCGACUCCAUGAAGUCGGAAUCGCUAGUAAUCGUGGAUCAGAAUGCCACGGUGAAUACGUUCCCGGGCCUUGUACACACCGCCCGUCACACCAUGGGAGUGGGUUGCAAAAGAAGUAGGUAGCUUAACCUUCGGGAGGGCGCUUACCACUUUGUGAUUCAUGACUGGGGUGAAGUCGUAACAAGGUAACCGUAGGGGAACCUGCGGUUGGAUCACCUCCUUACCUUAAAGAAGC
Molecule: ribosomal RNA, 1451 nt
Filed under: Salmonella enterica
Lineage: Bacteria; Pseudomonadati; Pseudomonadota; Gammaproteobacteria; Enterobacterales; Enterobacteriaceae
Also listed under: 1 other name
Description: bacterial SSU rRNA
Rfam family: Bacterial small subunit ribosomal RNA
Source: RNAcentral